CAAUCUCUGAAAUUUGGAAGUUCAAUUCACCAAUGCUACUUUCAGCAGUAGUAUUCUUUGCUUCAGUUGUUUCCUUCUGUUCACCAUGGCAUCUCUCAGAAUGCAGAUUCUGAUUACAUGCAGUAUCACAUGAAACUUGAACAUGUUCCAUAUCACUGACCUCAUCUCUUACCUCAACAGCAGAAAUGGAUUCCACAUUGGGCACAUCUAAGGCUUCCAAACUUCGGUUCUCAGUUUCAACUGCUGGAUUUUGGAGGUUCAACUCACCAAUGGUGCUUUCAGCAGUAAUAUUCUUUGCUUCAAUUACUUCAUGAUGUUCACCAUGGCAUGUUUCAGAAGAUGGCUCUGGAUUGCAUACAAUAUCACAUGUAGCUUGAAUGCAUUCCAGAUUACUGACUUCAUCCCGUGCCUCCAUAACAGAAGCCGAUUCCAUACUGGGCAUCUCUAUAUCUUCGGCAUUUUGGUUCUCAGUUACUUCAGUAUGUUCAUCAUUGCAUGUUUCAGAAGAUGGCUCUGGAUUGCAUACAAUAUCACAUGUAGCUUGAAUGCAUUCCAGAUUACUGACUUCAUCUCUUACCUCCAUAACAGAAGUCGAUUCCAUACUAGGCUUUUCUAUAGCUUCAGCAUUUUGGCUCUCAGUUUCAACCACUAUAUUUUGGAGGUUCAAUUUACCAAUGCUGCUUUCAGUAGUAAUAUUCAUUGCUUCAGUUACUUCACUAUGUUCACCACAGCAUGUUUCAAAAGGUGGCUCUGAGUUGUAUCGAGCAUCACAUGUAGGUUGAACAUAUUCCACAGUACCUAAUUCAUCUCUUACCUCAACAACAGAAGUCGAUUCCACAAUGGGCAUGUGUGUAGCUUCACUUUGGUUCUCAGUUUCAACUACUGGAUUUUGGUUGUUCAACUGACCAAAACUGCUUUCAGAGGUAAUGUUCUUUGAUUCAGUUACUUCAUCAUGUUCACUAUAGCAUGUUUCAGAUAGCGGCUCUGAGUUACAUACAGAAUCACAUGUAGGUUGAACAUAUUCCACAUUGCUUACCUCAGCUCUUACCUCGACAACAGUAACUGAUCCCACAUUGGGCACAUAUAUAGGUUCAGCAAUUCGGUUCUCACUUUCAAUCACUGGAUUUUCGAGGUUCAAUGCAUCAAUACUACUUUCACCAGCA
This 1163-nucleotide long non-coding RNA is filed under the name Musa acuminata (dwarf banana). Its description in RNAcentral is "long non-coding RNA (MACU_LNC003002)". Lineage: Eukaryota; Viridiplantae; Streptophyta; Magnoliopsida; Zingiberales; Musaceae. The record is from RNAcentral.